GCCGUGCUUAGGACUUUAGAGGCC
This 24-nucleotide non-coding RNA is filed under the name Arabidopsis thaliana (thale cress). The record is from RNAcentral. Lineage: Eukaryota; Viridiplantae; Streptophyta; Magnoliopsida; Brassicales; Brassicaceae.